UUGCCGAUAUACCUGAAUGUAUGAAGCUUGCCCUUAUUCUCUUUGGUCAGAUGUAUCAUAUCUAUUCCUAGAAUGUAUGUUCCUGAAUGUAUAAACCAAUUUGAGUUAAUAAAAAACUAAAGUGCUAAUGACAACAAGACACUUGGCAUAAUUCUAGUGGUGGCAUUGGAUUGCCACUAGAAAAAUGUAAACGAAAAUCUCAAGUGGUUUUGUUUUUGUUGACACUUUUAUUAUUGUUGUUGUUAUUAUUAUUAUUAUUAUAUAUAUUUUUUAUUUUUAGUAUAAGUAGGAGGCCUUGAACUUGAAAUUUCUCAUUUACGCUCCAUCUUCUGUACCAUCCAAUCCAUCUCUCUCUCAAAUUAUCUGUUUUGUUGUUAUUGCAUAACCUAAUUUCUUUGACCUUCAUUUUUUUCCUUUUUAAAUUCCAUUGCAUCGGGGUCUCCCAUGAGAAAACAUUCAAUGUCAAUUUUACCUAAAACAGUUUGAAGACUUUUGCUAGCUUGAAGCUAAACCAUAAAGAUGAAAUGCUUUCUUGCUUUUGACAUCUGAAGAUAUGUGGUAGCAUUACUCAAAAGAAAGGAAAUUAUACUAAAAAAAUCCAUAAACAAGCCAAAUAUGUAUGAUAAAGUUAUGCAGGUCCCCAUUUCGCCUAAACAACGAGAAGAAGAUCAUGCAAAAUACGACAUGUUCUCGGAAGGGUACACGACAAUUAAACCAAUAAAUUUUACAAUUAAUUUGAUGUUACCAUGAAAACCAAUAUGUUAGCAUAGUCUGCAUUACCAACAUCUAACUUGUAUGCUAUAUCUUCACACUGGACUUAAAUGCGUUAAUCAUCAUUAAACUUUAUUUUCAACUUCUUGAGCUAUCUAGACAAAUUUUCAUUUUGUUUAAUUUUCUUAUUUUGGGUUUUCUGGGGGAAGGGGAAAUGGGUGGGACAUUGGAACUGGAGGAAAGGACAAUACGGGGAGAGAGGCAUUCAAACUCCUUUCUGUUGGAUUUGGUAAGUACAUUUUUAUUUAUAGGUCUAACCAAAAAGAGCCCAUAACUAAUUAGUUUACGUACCUAGUCAAAUUUAACUACAGAAAAGAUAACUCAAGUCCUAUGAAUUGAAUGAAUUGAAAUCGCAAGUUGCAUCAGCCUUGUAAAGAAUUGUUCCAACUGCAGGUUUCAUUUCUCGAAACAACAAAUGGUCAAUCACAUUUUUUUCGCUGAAGUGAUGAAGAGAGGGAGAAGAGAGUUGGGAAGAAAAAGAGUAAGAGAGAAAAGUUGUUCUUGACAUUUGUUGGCUUCAAUAGGAUGGUGAAUUGGAAUCCGAUUAAGAUGAAAUUUUAACCACACAAUCCUCUCUCUAAACUCUAACUGUUUAUGGGUUUCGAUUUUAGAUUUCCUCUUCAAUUUUUUUAUUUAAUUUUUUUUAGCAAAUGGAAGGUUUUGAAUUUAAAACAUUCUAUUUACAAUACCUUCCAUCUUAUCACAUAACCCAACUCUCCCCAUUGGAUUUUCUCUUCUAUUUGUAACACAUAGAAUUGCAAACGAGUCAAUUCAAGUUGAACUUUGCCUCAACGAGCCAAACUCGACUUAAUUUUAACUAAGUUCGAACUCAAAUUCAACGAGUUUUUAUUCUAAAAUUCAAACACGAGCUCAAAUAAACUAAAAAUAAUUUUAUAUUUUUCAAAAUGGAUAAAAUUGACAUUUUACCUUAAUAAAUAAUAAAAAUAUAGGGGAUAUACUUUUAAUUUCACUAUUAAAAAUAUAAAAUACUAAAAAUAUAAAAAUUAGAGCUGGCUCGACGAGUUAACAAGCUAAAUAUUUGUGUACUCAACUAAAUUUUACUAGCUUGCAAAACCAGCUCAAACUCAACUCGAGUUCAAUGUUGACUGAGUUUGAGUCGAGUUUUGACUAAGUUGGCCCACUCGUGAUCGCAAAUCAUUUUGAUUAGUUUGCAACCCUAAUAACACCCUUCCAAACUUGCUUCUUAGAAAGUUAUAAUUUUUGAGAGAUGUAUUGUAGUAAAUCCACUUGAUUGAUAUGGUUAAUGUUGUUGUCAUCCAGAUACUUCAGAUAGACUUGUAUAACCCAUUAUUUUUAUAUUGAAAAUUUUUUACUAGACCAGGCCCUGUGUUUUUUCCAAUUUAGAUUUUUCAUGUUAAAAAUCUUGAUGUACUGUGCCUUUUAAUUCUAUACACUUUACUAUUACUGUUGAUAUCGUUACUUGGUGAUUUAGUUUGUUUCUAUUUAACUGGUACUUAAGGAAAAAGUUAUUUAUCCUGGGUUAACUAUGAUAUUAUAUGCUUGUACCGAUACCCUUUUUCCAACAAAGUGGUACCAUAGCAACCAAGUAGGGCUAUUCAUUUGUACUGAUUAAAAUGGAUGAUUUGGACAGUGCAUGUAUGAUUAAAUUAAAUGUAACAAAUUAUUGGACUUGAAAACCUUGAAUGGAAGACUAGGUUGCUAUUGAGUCAAGUCCAACUCAAAUAGCGCAUUGCUCAAUCUCUACUGAAGCGAGAAUACUUGAACUCGAACUCGAACUCGCCGAGUUCAAGCUUAUAUCCUUACUCGAAUUCAAGCUUGAGUUUGAACAAAUCAAGCUCAAUCAAGUUCAAUCGAGUUUUCCUACUCAAUUUUUUAGUAAAUUUCUUAAUUUUAUAAUAAAUAAUUAAAAAUUAUAUUAUAAAUAUACUACUCGAUAAGACUUGAUGAGUACUCAAGUUUUGACUUUUUCUACUCGUACUCAACUCAAUUAUCUUAUCAAGUAGUUCGAACUCUACUCAAACUCAAUCAACGUCGAGUUCAAGUUGACCCUUUGACCGAGUUAUUCACAAGCUAGAGUCGAGUAGUUUGAUUAAUUUAUAUUUAUACUCCUAUGGAAAACUACUUAUAUUGUAAAAAUUUGUUUGAACAUGUUCUAGGAGAUAAGGCUUGGUACGAGUGAUGAAAAGUGAGCUAUUAUGCAUAGAAAAACUAUUAGUAAUAUUAGAAAGUGGAUUGAUCAAAAUAUACUCCAACUCCUUGCUAAUGACAUUAGAGUUGAUGUACUGUGAAAGAAGUUUGAAAGCAUGUAUGAAAGGAAAAUCAAUUUAAACAAGUCCUCUUGUCUGAAACAGAUUACGUGGAUAAGAUACAAAGAUAGUGCAAAUAUGAUUGAGCACUUGAGUAAUUUUCAAGAUUUGAUGAAUCAAGCAACUACAGUGACCUUGAACUUAAAUAAUGAUGUGCAGGCUUAGUUGUUGUUCAGUUCACUACUAAAUACUUGAGAAACAAUAGUGAUCUUUGUCAGUAAUUUAUCUUCGAAUGGUGUGUUGACCAUAACCAUAGCAAAAGUGGCUAUGAUGAAUAAAGAGCUUAGGAGAAAAGAAUAAGGAAUUGAAUGAGUCUUAACUCCUAAUAACAAAAAAGAAAGAAAGAAGGGGGAGAAACAAGAGCAGUGGACCCACAUAGGAAUGACAAAUCCAAAUAUAAGUUUGAGUCAUAGAGAAAUAAUGAAUGCUGCUAUUGCACAAAAAAAAAAGGGUAUUACAUAAAACAAUGCAAAAUUUUGAAAUGGGAACUUAUUGAAAGAAAGGGCAAAGACAAGGCGAAAGAAAAAAAAUAAAGAAGAGACUAUAGCAGCUGUGGCUACCCAUGAUAAUAUGUUUGUGUUCCAUAAGAUGAUCAUGUCAAUAUCAAUCGUAAGAUAGUAACUAAGAAAUUGACUCGAGUGUAUCCAACCAUAUUGCCCCCCUUAAGCAUUUCUUCUCAAUCUAAAGUGAAGGAGAUUUUGGCUAUGUUAUGAUGGGAAAUGAAGUGUCAAGCAAAGUUGUUAGUAUGGGAGACAUAUAUUUGGAUAUAAAUAUUGGAUGCCAACUAGUUUUGAGAAAUGUUGGAUAUGUUGCUAAAGGGGGCAACAUAGAAACUCAACAAAGGAUAUGUCGUUGCUAAAUGGGACAUAUAACUCUCUAGAUGAAAGCAAUGGAAGCUCAACAAAGGAUAUCUCAUCGUUGCCAAAGGAAAGAAACAUAGUACCCUGUAUUUGAUGCAAAUCAAGUUAAGGAAGAGAGAAGUGAAUGCGGCUCAUAAUUCUUCCAUUAAACUUUAGCAUAGACAACCUGGACACAUUCAGACACUUGUUUGAAAGCAACUCCUACUUGAAGUAAGAGGUAAUGCACUUAAAUAUUGUAUUAAUUGCAUUUAUGGGAAAUAACAUAGAGUUGUAUUUCAAAAUUUUUCUCCAUCUAGAAAGUUGAUAUCUUAUCGAUGCUAAAGGAAAGAAAUAGAAUAUCAAAUUAAUUUGAGGAAGAGAGAGGUGAAUGCAGCUCAUGAUUCUUCCACUGACCUUUGGCACAAAUGACUUGGACACAUGAGUAAAAAGGGAUUCAAACACUUGUUUGGAAGCAACUUCUACCUGAAGUAAGAGGUAAUGCACUUAAAUAUUGUGCUAACUGCGUUUAUGGGAAAUAACAUAAACUUGCAUUUCAAAAUUUUUCUCCAUCUAGAAAAUUGAAUCUAUUAGAGUUGGUGCUAGUGCUAUUUACUUUGUAACUUUUAUUAAUGACUUUAUUAGGAAAGUUUAGUGUUUUGCUUUGAAAUCUAAAGACUAAGUCUUGAAAUUAUUCAAAGACUUUUAUAGCAAAGUUGAGAAAGAGACUGACAAAUAGUUGAAGUAUAUUCAUGCUGACAAUGGUUGUGAGUACAGGGGACCAUUUGAAAGUACUACAAGUCCUAUAGAAUCAAACGAGAGAAAACAGUACCAAAGACUCCUCGAGAGAAUAUGACGGAAGAGAGGAUGAAUAGAUCUAUUACUAAGUGGAUCAAAUAUAUGCUCUCUAAUGCCAAGCUACCAAAAUCCUUCUUGGGUGAAGGAACAAGGACUAAGUUGAUUUGAUCAAACUUUCUCCUUCAGUACCUUUGAGUAGUGAUAUCUCAGAGAGAAUAUGGACAAGUAAGAGGGUCUUUCAAAAAAAUUUGGGAUUCUUUUUGUUACCAAGUAUUUGUUUAUAUUCCCAAAAUUGAGAGGUCAUAACUUGAUGCCAAAUCUAAGUAGUGCAUUUUCUUGGGUUAUAGGCAUGAAGAGUUUGGCUAUAGACUAUAUGGUCCUAAAAUAAGUUAAUUAGAAGCAGAAAUGUUGCCUUAAAGACAUUGAUAAAGUUGAUAGGCUAAGAUCCUUAGAUGACUUUCAUGCUAGUCGAAUCUAGUUCCAAUAUAGGUGAUUUUGAUCAUGAGAGAGCUGAAACAGAGUAGAGAGAGGAUAUUAUUGAUGAUGAUCUUGCUACUAAUAAACUUGAGUAAGAGGCAUCGUCAACACAUCAUCACCAUAAGAUGAGCCUAAGAGGUGUACUAGAGAGAGUAGGCCUUCUAACAGGUAUAAUGCUAAUGAACUUGUGUUGCUGAUAGAUUAAGGAGAGCCAAAGUCCUAUAGUAAGACUCUAGAGUAUGACAAGAAAGAAGAAUGGUUGCAAGCCAUGCAAUAGGAGAUGGUGUCCUUGCAUGAGAAUCAUAUAUAUGACUUGAUCAAGCUGUUUGAGGGCAAGAGAGCACUGAAAAAUAAAUUAAUCUAUAGGUUAAAAACUUAAGAGAAUAGUUCACAACCAAAGUACUAAGCAAAAUUGGUUGUGUAGGGAUUUGAACAAAAGAAAUGAAUGGACUUUAACAAAAUUUUCUCUCAUGUGGUAAAGAUAUCGUCAAUCCAAGUUUUUGGUGUUGCAACUAGCUUGAAUUUAGAGAUUGAAUAACUUGAUGUCAAUAUAAUCUUCUUACAUGGUGAUUUGGAAGAAAAAAUUUACAUGCAACAAUCAAAGGGGUUCAAAAAAAGUGGUAAAGAGAACCUUGUAUGCCAUCUUAGGAAGAGGUUGUAUGGACUUAAACAAGCAUCGAGAUAAUAGUACAAGAAGUUUGACUUCAUCAUGACAAACUAUGAGAACUAUAGGACUACAUUUGAUUAUUUUGUCUAUAUGAAGAACUUUUCAAAUGGUGAUUUUAUUAUUCUCUUACUGUAUAUUGAUGACAUUUGAUUGUUGGCUGUGACGUCAUAAAGAUUGAUAGGUUAAAAAAGGAAUUAAGCAAAUCCUUCGCAAUGAAAGAUUUGAUUGUCUCAAGAAAAGUAUAUUAACAAAAUACUUGACAAGUUUAACAUGAGCAAGGCUAAGGAUACUCUACUUGUAGGUCACUUCAAGUUAAACAUCAAACAAUGUUCUACAAGUAAGAAAGGCAAAGAAUGUUGGAAUGUAUGCCCUAAAACAAUGUAUUUGUUUUUAUUUUAUACAUUCCUUAUUAUAUGUUUUGUAUUUUAAUAACUUCUUAUUUAUCUGUUAAAUAUUAGAUACAACCGAUAAAGUCCUUAUAAUAUUACUAAUGUGAUGAUAGUCACAAGAGUUGGUGACUAUGAGAUAUCAAUCACAUUUAUAGUAAUAUUAUUAAAAUUCCCUAGUUUUUGUACUAAUGAAAUAGAACAUCUUUAGUACGGUAAAACUAGUACACAGUUAGCCUCUAAUUAAUGUAAUUAGUGGUUGUUCUCAUCAACUAUGGUAUGAAGAUACUUAGGCUAAUGUGUAGAUGAUUUGAAAAGUACAAAUGCAUUGGAGUGAUCCGUUUAGAGAUCCCGUUAGGAUAUCUAUCUAGUGCCAAUGGUGUAUCUCUAGUGAAAAAUUGUGUAAGUGAUCCUACGACUUGAGAUCACCAUAGAAUCUUGAGUGGGAAUCACUACAUUUUGACUCUAAUUACUUGUUACUCUUUGAGAGUGCCUUAAAGUGUAGAAGUUGGAUGUAGUGUGAAGCACGUAAAGAAAAUGGGUGAUCAAGAUAGGAUUUACCACUCUGAUAGAAGGAGUUGAUAUCCGGAUGGCCACUAGUGAGAAAUUAACCCUAAAGUCGAUUGUUAGGUAAAUUGAAGAAUGUCUUCAAUUUAACCUAAUUAAGGGUAAAUUUCGGGAACUAGAAAAUUUAAUUAGUCAUCAGGGAAUUGGCACUUAUUCCUUAUUCCUGACUAAUUGGAUAUCUUUGGUAAAAGGAUAAUAAUUACACAGUAAUUUUUCACGGAAAGGUUAGGUCAAGUUCCCUUGACUAAUUCCGAAUAAUUGGGCAAUCACGAUGUGUUGCUAGACACCGCUCGUGAUUUAUAAUUAUUGAUUAAUUAUCUAUUAUAAGUUAUGAUAAAAUAAAGUCGUUUAUUUUAUCUAAUUAUUAAACCAUAAUUAUUACCAAUGCAUUCGGGACCUAUUGGAUCACACGCAAUAGAGAUUUAAUCCUGGAUUGAAACUAUGUGAAUUAUCGGGGUUUAAUUUUAAAAGAAAAUUAAUCCCAGGCCUAUUUGAGUAGAUAAGAGUAAAUGGUUAUCUCUUAUUUAUCAGAUAAUGAUAGAUAGAGUAUUGGGUGAUGAGAAGUCUUAUGGUUUUGAUUUUGAAUCAGACAAGAAGACUUAUCAUUAUAUAUCAUCAUAUAUCUCUCUCAUCAUAGGGCUCUCGGGUUUUUUCCAAUUGAUUUUUGGGGGCUGAUAUAUAGAUACUAAAAACCGAAGUUUUGUGAUUGUCAAACACAAAAGAGAGAAAUAUAUACGUUUGAAAAGAGUAAAAAAGGCUAGCACCUUUUUCUCUUCUAUACAUAGUUCGUGAGACGAUCCAGGGUUGCUCUAGCGUGGAUAUCAGUAGAGGCAGGACGAUUGGACUGCUCAAGGGCUGACCAUCCUCAAACAACGCUGCAGGGAGACGCCGCUUGGAUUAAGGUAAUCUUAAAACCCUACUUCUAGUACAUCAUACGUAAAAUCUAGGGUGAUUCCUGGAUGGUUUUAGGGAAAAUUUUUUAUUUUUCCGCUGCGUAGUAUCCCUAAAACCCAACAAAGAAGACAUGAAAAAGGUUUCUUAUGACAUUGGCCACAGAUGUGCAAUGAGAGAUUUCAAACCCAUUUCUAUUAUGGGUAUAGUCUUUUUUCUAAAUUAGGUCCUAGAUGAGGCUUGUAGAGAGAAAUUUCAUACAAUAACAAAAUGAUAAAGAAAAAUAAGGAUUUCCUUGUCUAAUUCUCUAGUUGGAUCAAUUUGAUCAUAUAUGGAUGCAUUUAUAAGCACAACUAUUUUAAAAGCAAGCCUCUGGGUUACGAAGUUAACUCAAUUGUUGCCACACCAAAGAUUGUGAAUUCUUUUUUACGAUUUUGCUAUUAAAUAUGUGAAUCAAGAGCAUCUUUUAGAUUAACAAGUUAGUUCAAUCACUACUCCAUCAAAGAUUGCGAAUUCUUUGCUACCUUUUACCAUGAAAUCUAGUGUUCAGAUAAUUUUUUGGUUUGUAAAGGAAAAAGUUGACCCAAAUUAGCUUUGCUAUCAAUUUCAUUCAUUAACUUUCUCUCUUUUCUAGAGAGAGACUUUCCCCCGAGUUGGUGUUCAAAAUAGUUUAAUAUUCUCGGAAAUCCCAAAAUAGUAAAGAUCCAAAUAUCUUAAAUUUCUUAAACCUAUUAUUUGCUUAGAUUACAAGAUAGAUAUCAUUCAUUCUGGUUUUGACAAUCUAGAAUCAUUACAAAUAGGAUCUCUGAUGUUGGGUUAUGGUUAAUUUUAGCAAGAGCACUGAAGAAAAAAGAUGCCUAGAACCAAGCUCAAGCAUCUAAAGUAACCUCCCAUCUAUCCUUUUCAAUCCAUUAUGUUUAUUUUUUACUGGCUAAUUUGUGAUAUACUUGUAAGUAGUAGGUUCUCUAUUUAAUUAUGUUGUUCAUCUUUUACUUGCUAUUCAGUUUUUACUUGUUGGACCAUUAAUUGUGCUGGUCGCUCAAAUUAUUUUCUCGCUUUUCCAAAUUAGUUUCGGACCUACUAUUUUUGUUGUGCUUGUUCAGUGGCUGCUCUGGUUUGGAUUUGUGUGGAUUGCUCCAAUCAUGGAGGAUCUGGAGAAUUUUAUGAAAUGAUUCACGCUCAUUGAAACUGAAUAGAAUGGGAUUUUAUUAGAUGAGUUGGAUAUUGAGAGUGAUAGAAAGGAAUGUAAUCUUCGCCUAAUUGGGAAAAUAAAAGGGCACAAAGUGGCUAAUAUGGUAGGAACUAAAAGCUCUGCUAAUAAUAUGUGAAACUUCCCAAAAAAUUUGGAAGAGUGGAACUACGACCAAACUUCUUUCAAUUUACCUUUCAAUCCUACCAAGAAUUGGAAAAAGUCUUAGGAGACAGACCUUGGAUUUAUGAUGGAUAGCCUUUAGUCCUAGUGAAGUGGAGAGAGGGGAUAGAAUCUGAGGAAAAAGCCUUCAAUAGAUCCCUGAUGUGAGUUCAAAUGUGGAACUUGCCAAUGUAUUGGAUUGCUAUAGAAGUAGGAAAGAAAAUAGGUGGCAUCUUUAGCUUUGUUAGAGAGGUUAUUGUUCUCACAAAAGAAAGUAAAGAAGAGACGCAUAUUAAGAUUCAAGUGAAGGUGGAUUUAUCCAAACCCUUUCUUAGGGAAACAACCAUAAGACUUGAUAGAACACUAAAAUGAAUAGUAUUCAAAUAUGAAAAGUGUCCUGACUUUUGUUACUAUUAUGGUAGAUUGGGUCAUAAUGAGAAAAACUGCAAUCUGAAAGGAAUCAAUUUAGAGAAAAACACCUAGUUAGAGGGGUGGAUAAGGGUUAGCUAUCCUAGAAACCCAACUAGGAAAACAAAAGGAAAGCCACCAAAUACCACUAUUGAAAAUAGGGGGAUAAUAUAGAGAAUGCUAGAGUCCAAAAACAAUUUUUGAUAACAUACCAUGGGGAAAACUCUAGAGGAUUAAACAAGUUUAGGGAAUGAAGAUUUGUACAAAGGAAGAGAUGUCAAAAACUCAAGGAGAAUGUACGAAUGUCCAAAGUAGAGAUAAUGGUGAACCUAUUCCUGUAACAGACAAUGAGACUGGCCAAAUGUCAAUUUUGAAGAGUUUUUAUCAGGAUGAUAGAGAGGUCAACAAGGAGAGGAAUAUGUAUAAUGUUAGUUGUGAUAGUAUAUGGAUUGGUGGUAGUAGAGAGAAGAGAGGAGAUUAGAAACUUGCGCUAGACCAAAACAUAAAAAGAAAAGAGAUUAUUAUGAGUAAAAACAUUGAAGUGAAUGGUAGAUCAGGGAAAAAAUAGAAGUUCAAUGGAGGAAUAGCAUGGAAAAGACUAGUAAAAAAGGUAGGGAGUAGGAAACCAUUAGAUGAUAUUAGCACACUACAACAAAAAAGCCCUAUUUAGAUCCUCUAUCAAGACCUUAAGAAGUGAGUGUCAUAAUAAAACAACAUAGACCAAGUACUAUUAUUUUGCUUUAUUUAUUUUUAAAUUAAAAAAUAUGAGGUGUCAAAUUAGGAUAGCUAUUGUGGCAUUGGGUGUAAAUGUUAGCAAAAGCCACAACCUUAAAGGCAACAGCCAAUUGGUGGUAAAGUUGGGCAUUGCUUCUCCCCUGAUCAUAGGUUUUAUUCUUUUCCCACUCUUCUCUCUCAAUCUCACUUGGUGCUAUCCCUUUUUUUGGGCGAUAAGAUAAGUUUUCCUUUUCAAUCGUACAAUUUUGCCAUCCUUUGCUCUCUAUCUUACUUCAACAUCCCACCCCUCUCUCUCCUUUUGAUUCUUUACUUGCAAAGGAUCAAAAUUUUGUGGGUUUAACUUUUCCUCAUGAUAUUUUCUUCAUACAACGAAGACAAAUUGUACAGUGUGUGCCAUUUUCUUCAAACUCUUUGUAGUCAUCCCAAGCCUAUGAUGUCUUGGUUCUUUUUGAAAUCUAAAAUGUGUCUUCUCCUUUGUCUCCCUCAGCAGUUUGUACAUUAUUUUCAGUCUCCAAAGUUCGUGUAGGUUCUUUAUUUGUUAAAGGAGCAUUUUUGGGUCUGAAUAGUGGUCCUUCAAUUGCUUGCUUUUUGUUGUCAUUACUUACCGCAAUUGGUCUGUCCAACUAACACGGAGUAGAUGAAUCAGCAGUAGAGGCAUAAUGAUGCAUGAUUGAACACACUUCCUGUGGACUGGUAGACAUCCCUAUAAUAGAUAGUAGUGAAGUAGAUUUUGAUAUUUUAGACUCUUAAGUCUUUAAAGCUAUCAAAAGAACAUUUUCAAUGCUAAUGUGAUCAAUUUUAUGGCAACCUAAGUACCUAAGAAUCAGUUACACUUUUCUUAGCUUUGUGUUGUUAUUUAACACUUAUCAUACAUUUGCUAAGCAUUUUCUCAACAACUAGCCAACUAGAACAGUCAAGAAACUAAGAACUAAAGCCAAUAUAUGAUGUCUCCAUUUAUAAACAUAUGUAUGAUGAGCCACAUCUUUUGCCCAAGCAUUUUCUCAAUAUUUGGUGUCACAAUUUAUAACCAAAUGUAAACCAAGGCAUUGACCAUACCAUUUACCACAGAUAACCACUAAAUCCACAACUCAAACAAGGAUAGCUCCAAUAGUUCAUUUAUCUAACAGCAAUUUAUUUAAAAAAAUAACUAACCAUUAACCAUCCUCAACAAAUAACAACUAGUGAUAUUUAGUCAGCAAAAACAAAAAAGGGACACCAAGUAAAAGCAGAACAAAAUGCUGCUUACCUACUCAUCCUACUCUUGCAACGGAUUCCAAAGCACUUGUCGAAGUGCCAAGUUCUUUUUGCAUAUUUCCUUGAUGGUCUUCCUUGCUUUCCCUCGAGGCUCAAGCUAUCAAAACCUCAAUUUUAGCCGCUAUAAAUAAUGAAUUAAAACCCCCAAUUUCAGAAUUUAGGGUUUGAAGGGAUGGAAAUUAGAGCAAAUACAGUAAUAAACAAUCAUUCAUUACUUGUUUCGGUUAAUGAAUAAAGAUCAAGAGAGCAAGGUCAGUAAUAGUGAAUUUCACAACUUAAGGUUUGUGCUUUCCUAAUUCCUAAAAUUGAAUCUCUCAGCAGAAUCAAUUCCUUAAUAGUGAAUUUCACAACUUAAGGUUUGAAGCUCAAGCUCAAAGAUGGAUUUCAAUUUUCAUAUGGG
Molecule: long non-coding RNA, 11829 nt
Filed under: Coffea arabica (coffee)
Lineage: Eukaryota; Viridiplantae; Streptophyta; Magnoliopsida; Gentianales; Rubiaceae
Description: long non-coding RNA (CARA_LNC005577)
Source: RNAcentral